CUGGCUCAGGAGUGAACGCUAGCGGCAGGCUUAACACAUGCAAGUCGAGGGGCAACGCGAGUAGCAAUACUUGGCGGCGACCGGCGCAAGGGUGCGUAACGCGUGAGCAACAUGCCCGUAUCAGGGGGAUAAUCCAGGGAAACUUGGUCUAAUACCCCAUAGUAAUUUUGUAAGGCAUCUUAUAAGAUUUAAAGCUUUGGUGGAUACGGAUUGGCUCGCGUGACAUUAGCUGGAUGGUAAGGUAACGGCUUACCAUGGCUAUGAUGUCUAGGGGUUCUGAGAGGAAGGUCCCCCACACUGGAACUGAGACACGGUCCAGACUCCUACGGGAGGCAGCAGUGAGGAAUAUUGGACAAUGGAUGGAAAUCUGAUCCAGCCAUGCCGCGUGAAGGAAAAGAAGGUCCUAUGGAUUGUAAACUUCUUUUGUAUGGGAGCAAUAAGGCCUACGAGUAGGUUGAUGAGAGUACCAUACGAAUAAGCACCGGCUAACUCCGUGCCAGCCGCAGC
This 507-nucleotide ribosomal RNA is filed under the name uncultured bacterium. Its description in RNAcentral is "bacterial SSU rRNA". It matches the Rfam family "Bacterial small subunit ribosomal RNA", at positions 19 to 518 of the family's 1533-position model. The record is from RNAcentral.